This 450-nucleotide ribosomal RNA is filed under the name uncultured bacterium. Its description in RNAcentral is "partial 16S ribosomal RNA". It matches the Rfam family "Bacterial small subunit ribosomal RNA", at positions 354 to 796 of the family's 1533-position model. The record is from RNAcentral.
GUGGGGAAUAUUGGACAAUGGGCGAAAGCCUGAUCCAGCCAUGCCGCGUGUGUGAAGAAGGUCUUCGGAUUGUAAAGCACUUUAAGUUGGGAGGAAGGGCAGUAAGUUAAUACCUUGCUGUUUUGACGUUACCGACAGAAUAAGCACCGGCUAACUUCGUGCCAGCAGCCGCGGUAAUACGAAGGGUGCAAGCGUUAAUCGGAAUUACUGGGCGUAAAGCGCGCGUAGGUGGUUUUGUAAGUUGGAGGUGAAAUCCCCGGGCUCAACCUGGGAACUGCCUCCAAAACUACUGAGGUAGAGUACGGUAGAGGGUAGUGGAAUUUCCUGUGUAGCGGUGAAAUGCGUAGAUAUAGGAAGGAACACCAGUGGCGAAGGCGACUACCUGGACUGAUACUGACACUGAGGUGCGAAAGCGUGGGGAGCAAACAGGAUUAGAAACCCGUGUAGUCC